UCCCCAUUUACCAACCCAAGCAAGUAAGCCCACCUGAGCCACAGAACCUUCUCCCUCCCUACAAAAGGCUCAGGAGUAGGAGGCACCAGACAGCUUUUAUCGUCUCUAACACUAACUCAGUUUUGAAUAAAUUGAAGAGCGAGGAAGAGUCAAAGGAAAAAAUGCUGGGUCAGUGAUUACCCUUGAAAAUACUUUGCAAUUACAAAAACAAACAUUUAAUGAACUGAUCCAGUUAGUCACCAACAGAAUACUUAAGUACGCCUCUUGAUUCCUUUAUUGGAAGAACUAUGACCCAUCCAAAUCAUUCUUCAAAGUCAGUCUGUCUGUGAAGAAUAAAACAAUGAUUGCUAAUAAAAUGUUUAGGACUAUUAGAGGUUAUAUAAAGUAUUAGUGUUAGGUCUGUAGUUUGUCCAGCUUUUCUGGGAAAUGUCUCAGUUUAGAGAGAUAAAACCUGGUUCACCUAACUGUGAACUAGAUCCCAGACAUGGCUGAAACUGGGCCAGGGUCCUUCCCUAAGAAUUUGGAGGUGGGACUAUGCUAUCCAGCUUGGUCUGGCUGCUGUCUUCAACUAUGGAAAUGGAUAACUCCCACCACAUGAAAUGGAGAAUGACAAAACUAGUCUGCAGCAAGAAAUCAGGAUGAAAUAACCGAGAAAAGCUGACAAAGGUGAAUUAAAGACAAGAACCCCUCAUCGGC
This is a long non-coding RNA of Homo sapiens (human), 696 nucleotides long. Ensembl annotates it as WASF3 antisense RNA 1. Its record names the gene WASF3-AS1. The record is from Ensembl. Lineage: Eukaryota; Metazoa; Chordata; Mammalia; Primates; Hominidae.